UACAGAGGGUGCGAGCGUUAAUCGGAAUUACUGGGCGUAAAGCGCACGUAGGCGGCUUUGCAAGUCAGAUGUGAAAUCCCCGGGCUUAACCUGGGAACUGCAUUUGAGACUGCAUUGCUAGAGUAUGGGAGAGGGCAGUGGAAUUUCCGGUGUAGCGGUGAAAUGCGUAGAUAUCGGAAGGAACAUCAGUGGCGAAAGCGACUGCCUGGACCAAUACUGACGCUCAUGUGCGAAAGCGUGGGGAGCAAACAGG
Molecule: ribosomal RNA, 253 nt
Filed under: uncultured bacterium
Lineage: Bacteria
Description: partial 16S ribosomal RNA
Rfam family: Bacterial small subunit ribosomal RNA
Source: RNAcentral